GGGGAAAUGGCUCAGUCAGUAAAGUGCUUGUCUUACAAGCAUGAGGAUCUGAGUUCAAUUCCCAGUACCCACA
Molecule: transfer RNA, 73 nt
Filed under: Cricetulus griseus (Chinese hamster)
Lineage: Eukaryota; Metazoa; Chordata; Mammalia; Rodentia; Cricetidae
Rfam family: tRNA
About the family: Transfer RNA (tRNA) molecules are approximately 80 nucleotides in length.
Source: Rfam by way of RNAcentral